AGUGAACGCUGGCGGUAGGCCUAACACAUGCAAGUCGAACGGCAGCACAGUAAGAGCUUGCUCUUACGGGUGGCGGGUGGCGGACGGGUGAGGAAUACAUCGGAAUCUACUUUUUCGUGGGGGAUAACGUAGGGAAACUUACGCUAAUACCGCAUACGACCUACGGGUGAAAGCAGGGGAUCUUCGGACCUUGCGCGAUUGAAUGAGCCGAUGUCGGAUUAGCUAGUUGGCGGGGUAAAGGCCCACCAAGGCGACGAUCCGUAGCUGGUCUGAGAGGAUGAUCAGCCACACUGGAACUGAGACACGGUCCAGACUCCUACGGGAGGCAGCAGUGGGGAAUAUUGGACAAUGGGCGCAAGCCUGAUCCAGCCAUACCGCGUGGGUGAAGUAGGCCUUCGGGUUGUAAAGCCCUUUUGUUGGGAAAGAAAAGCAGCAGGUUAAUACCCCGCUGUUCUGACGGUACCCAAAGAAUAAGCACCGGCUAACUUCGUG
Molecule: ribosomal RNA, 492 nt
Filed under: uncultured bacterium
Lineage: Bacteria
Description: partial 16S ribosomal RNA
Rfam family: Bacterial small subunit ribosomal RNA
Source: RNAcentral